GUGGGGAAUAUUGCGCAAUGGGGGAAACCCUGACGCAGCGACGCCGCGUGAGCGAAGAAGGCCUUAGGGUUGUAAAGCUCUGUUUUAAGGGACGAAUGUCGUGGGGAGUAAUAUGCUCUGCGAAUGACGGUACCUUAAGAGGAAGCCCCGGCUAACUACGUGCCAGCAGCCGCGGUAAGACGUAGGGGGCGAGCGUUGUCCGGAAUUACUGGGCGUAAAGAGCACGUAGGCGGGAACUUAAGUCAGGUGUGAAAGACCGGGGCUCAACUCCGGGGUUGCACUUGAAACUGGGUUUCUUGAGGGCAGGAGAGGAAAGCAGAAUUCCUGGUGUAGCGGUGAAAUGCGUAGAAAUCAGGAGGAAUACCAGUGGCGAAGGCGGCUUUCUGGACGGUGUCUGACACUGAGGCGCGAAAGCUAGGGGAGCGAACGGGAUUAGAUACCCCGGUAGUCC
Molecule: ribosomal RNA, 451 nt
Filed under: uncultured bacterium
Lineage: Bacteria
Description: partial 16S ribosomal RNA
Rfam family: Bacterial small subunit ribosomal RNA
Source: RNAcentral